Molecule: ribosomal RNA, 441 nt
Filed under: Triticum aestivum (bread wheat)
Lineage: Eukaryota; Viridiplantae; Streptophyta; Magnoliopsida; Poales; Poaceae
Description: partial small subunit ribosomal RNA
Source: RNAcentral
AUGGCUUUUGCAGGUUCAUCCACUACCCUCGCUGUCAAGGCAGCCUUCAUCGCCGCCAUGCUCGCCGUCCUGGUACUGCCUUCCAUGGGGCGCUGCCCGUCACUUGGGCCAGAGGCAGCGCCCACGCCUGCGCCGACACCGGCGAUACCGUGCAGCGACUGUGACGAAUGGGCAGCGCCCACGCCUGCGCCAGCACCGGCGAUACCAUGCAGCGACUGUGACGAAUGGGCGGCGCCCACGCCUGCGCGUACACCGGCGAUGCUGUGCAGCGCCUGUGACAAACGCUGCUUCGACGCGUGCUAUGCCAACGUCAAGGUUAUGUGCAACGACUCUUGCAACGUCAGGUUCUACGGAUGCAGCGGCUGUUGGAACUUAUACAUGCCCAAGUGCGUCAAACCCUGCGAGAGUGACUGCCGCGCUGCCGCCUGCGUCAGCGACUAA